AGAUUUCAUGUCAUGUGAACAAUGGAUGCCUUGUAAGUUUAUGUGCUACACAAACAUCUGAAGGACUUCCUAGACCAAAAUGAAAUGACGGGCUUAUUGAAGGUUAACCAUUAGGAUAUUCAGUUCUUUCUUGGUAAUCUUGUUAGCUAUUCAACAUAGCUUUUCAAAGACUCAGUAGAUUAAACUUGCCUUUGAUAGCUGUUUUUAAUUUAAUGUGAUUGAUAAGCAGCACCCCUUCAUGCUCCCUCUCCCUUCCCCACCGCUCUUCUCCCACACCCCGUCACCAUAGGUUCAUUUCCAAAAUGCCUCAGCAACAACAGGGAGCUCAGUGCAGCUCUCUCCUGGGUGGCAGGAAUCCAGCGACCCCCAUCUCAGCACCCCUUCUCGGAGUCGGCCUAGUAGGAAGCUAAGAGUCAGGAACUGCUUGGCAGAGUGGCCUCCUUUGUUUUAUAGGUAUUUGUAGGGUUAAAUAUUUUUGUUUCUCUUUACGCAUUUCAAAAUCACUUUUAUUAUGUGUUUUACUGAGAUAAAAUUGAUUUUAGUAAGUAUACUUUAUAGACUUUCUUAAGAUUUUUAAAUUUUUAUUGGAAAGGCAGAUACACAGAAGGAGAUGAAGAAAGAUCCUCCAUCUGCUGAUUGCCCCCCAAAGUGGCCAAGAUGGCAGGAGCUGAGUCGAUCUGAACCCAGGAGCCUCCUCUGGAUGCCCUGCACAAACACAGGGUCCCAGAACUUUUUGAGCCAUACUGCACUGCCUUCCCAGGCCACAGGCAGAGAGCUGGGUGGGAAGUGGAGCAGCCUCUUAAGACACUUACCAGCGCCCACAUGGGAUCCUGGCACGUACAAGGUUGGGUCAAGAAUACCUGUUUUUGUUUUUGAAUGAAUGCAAGCAUGCCAUCCUAAGAAGAGAGAAUGUGAUCCUUUUCAGUUGUUCUUGAGAAAUCACAUGAUUGGGUAUCAAGGUGGCCUCUUCACAUGGUAGUCACUUAAAUGUCCUGAAGAAAGGUCUUCAUCCAAGUGUGACUCUUACCUCCAUCAAAGCCAUGGUUACUGGCUGACACGUAACAUAUUCUCACUGCGUUUGGGACAAGUUAAGAUGCAGCAUCAGAGUCCACAGGGUCCGCGCUGGGGGCCUCUCACAUCUGACACCAGUCACGAACCCAGGAGCACCCCACAAGUGUGACUGACACAUUGGCCCCACGUGUGAGGGUCCCCCAGGACCCUUCAGGAGCACCAGGCACAGGAAGGACUCCUACAGUCUAGGCAGGUCCAGAGAAGCUCAGCAAGCCUCCUACUGGAGCUGGAAAAGACCUAAAUUCCUACUCCCGUGGCCACCAACACCAGCAUGCUAGAGCCCAGUCAUAGCCCCAGCCUGCCAAUACCAGCAUGGCACAGCACAAGACCAAAGCCCACAUUGCUGUGGCUCCUUCAUGACACAGAAUCGCACUAUAGCUGCAGCCAGCACCAGAGG
Molecule: long non-coding RNA, 1468 nt
Organism: Ochotona princeps (American pika)
Lineage: Eukaryota; Metazoa; Chordata; Mammalia; Lagomorpha; Ochotonidae
Exons: 5
Source: RefSeq, a predicted model, not a curated record